Manacus vitellinus (golden-collared manakin) is the source of this 1966-nucleotide long non-coding RNA. The record is from Ensembl. Lineage: Eukaryota; Metazoa; Chordata; Aves; Passeriformes; Pipridae.
AAAGAGCAAUGGCAUUUUACAUCAUGUCCUGAAAGUCAUCAGUCCAUAACCACUAAGAAGUGAUGCAAAAUGCUGGUAAUCUCUGCCCAGCAAGCAAUCCGAGUCCAUGCGGAAAGCUCCUGAAAAACAUCAUCUGUGUAAGGAAGAAUUCCUUCCUACAUCUCGGUUACCAGGAGCAGGAAGCAGGCUGCAGCAGAUGAGGAUAGCUGAAAUCACAAAUCAGAGCGCCUACUUCUUGAUACUCCUGCCUCAGUUUUGUCUUCUGUGGACCUGGACUGGUAACAGCUUCCUGCCUACCGGGGAUGCUGCAAACAUUAUUGCACACUUAGCAGAUUAUGAGCCUAAAUACAUAUACAAGGUGCAAAGCGGUGGACCAGAAUAAUUAAUGGAAGAGCAUAUAGGGAAGCUAGCCUGUGUUUCUAUUUGUGUCCAACAACAAUAGUCCAGGAGCAUUUCAUACCAGAGGCAUGCUUCUAAGCGAGUUACACAGGCUGAAUCAACUUUCGAAAUCAAUAGGAACAGAGCACAGAAAAAAAAUCCAUGCUAUUUCAAUUCCAACAAUUACUGGAGAGUUAACCAGCCUCUCAAAAAAACGUUAUCAGGACUGACACAUUUCCAAAGUGUAUUCUGAUUUUAGCUGAGCUUUAUCUUCUGACAGAGAAAUGUUUUGUUGGAUAUAUUCCAGCUUCUUCUUCACGUUAUUAGUUUUUUUUAAUUCUUGCCUUUUCUUUUUAAUACAACAAUUUUUUUUUUUGCGCACUGUGGUAAUUGGAACAGAAGUAAGAGUGUCUUAUUCUUCCGGCAGUCAUAUUCCCUUCAGUGGCUUUCUUUUAAGUAACAAGCCAUCGCAGCAGUGAGAACUAAAAGGCUACACAGAGGCACAUCAGGUGGCUCUGAUGAUUGAGUGGUGGUUAACAACGGGUAGCUUAUUGUGACGGCUCGACUGCCACCAUUACACCGAGACUGAAAGAGAAUACACGCGUGCAUUUAGAAUUCCUUAAAGGUGUAUUUUAUUUGAUCCGUAAGGGAUCACUCCAGCUCUUACAAAAGUAUCUGGCGGAAAAUACCUUUGUUCCCAUGAAUGGGAGAGGGUUUGCUUUUUGGUUUUCCGUCUCUCCUGGUGCUUUUAUUUGCAGCCAUUUCAAGUCGGAGUUGUUGCAAGUCUGGUAUUGAGUGAGACACUUGUGUGAACACCCUUGGCUUCUUCAGUGAUGGUGUUUUACAUGUUUAAAAGCUCCAUGGAUCUACCACGUAGAAAAUGAACAGUUAUUAAUAACAGUCUGAGAUAUAAACAAAAAAAACCCCCAAAAUUAUGCUAGCAUUCAGAGCACCAGCCAUUAGCUCAGCCCAGAGUCUGAAGAUGUGUGAUGAUCUUUCAGAAACUUUUCUUUCUUUGUGACAUAUGCACAGGGUAUUAUGUCAUGCAUGUCAUGUUACAUGCACAGUGGAGGCCCCUAUCCUUACCAUUUACAGGAGCUGGCUAUUUUUCUUGUGCUGCACGUGUUUUGCUGCCAUGGAAUCUAAGUUGUGACUGGUGCCCCAGAUGCAGCAGAUGAAAGCCAUGGAGUUUUGCUCCAUGCAAAACACAAGCUAGACAGCUAAUCAAGCAUCAUCAGGCUCACCGCUCACUUCAGAUGUUUGGCCUUUAGCAGAAAUCAGCACUGUUGCACGGAGUGUAAUGGCAGAUAUUUGCUAUCUGUACAAUUAGAAAACCCUUGGGACCAUGAAAAUAGCUUUGUGAAAAUGCAAUUGCAAGCCUUGUUCUUUGCCAUGCAACUGCUGGGUGCUUCCUACGGUACUAUAACACACAGUACAAAUGUGUAUGCUGAAAUGAACUGAAGGUCACAAAUGACGUGGAGUUCCUUAGUGAUGAGAACUGGCUCACGGAACCUGCACACUAAGCACUGGAAACAGCUUGAAUCUUCAAAGUCCAAAACAAACAAAUAAACAGACAAGAACCAAAACA